GUGGGGAAUAUUGCACAAUGGGCGAAAGCCUGAUGCAGCAACGCCGCGUGAGGGACGACGGCCUUCGGGUUGUAAACCUCUUUUAGUAGGGAAGAAGCGAAAGUGACGGUACCUGCAGAAAAAGCACCGGCUAACUACGUGCCAGCAGCCGCGGUAAUACGUAGGGUGCAAGCGUUAUCCGGAAUUAUUGGGCGUAAAGAGCUCGUAGGCGGUCUGUCGCGUCUGCUGUGAAACCUGGAGGCUCAACCUCCAGCCUGCAGUGGGUACGGGCAGACUAGAGUGCGGUAGGGGAGAUUGGAAUUCCUGGUGUAGCGGUGGAAUGCGCAGAUAUCAGGAGGAACACCGAUGGCGAAGGCAGAUCUCUGGGCCGUAACUGACGCUGAGGAGCGAAAGCGUGGGGAGCGAACAGGAUUAGAUACCCUUGUAGUCC
Molecule: ribosomal RNA, 430 nt
Filed under: uncultured bacterium
Lineage: Bacteria
Description: partial 16S ribosomal RNA
Rfam family: Bacterial small subunit ribosomal RNA
Source: RNAcentral